This 466-nucleotide ribosomal RNA is filed under the name uncultured bacterium. RNAcentral describes it as "partial 16S ribosomal RNA". It matches the Rfam family "Bacterial small subunit ribosomal RNA", at positions 28 to 506 of the family's 1533-position model. The record is from RNAcentral.
GAUGAACGCUGGCGGCGCGCCUAACACAUGCAAGUCGAACGAUUAAAGCACCUUCGGGUGUGUAUAAAGUGGCGAACGGCUGAGUAACACGUGGGCAACCUGCCCCUUUCAUUGGGAUAGCCACGGGAAACCGUGGAUAAUACCGAAUACUUCGAGACUUCCGCAUGGAAGACUCGAGAAAGCUCCGGCGGAGAGGGAUGGGCCCGCGGCCUGUUGGCUUGCUGGUGGGGUAACGGCCUACCAAGGCAAUGAUGGGUAGCUGGGUUGAGAGACCGACCAGCCAGAUUGGGACUGAGACACGGCCCAGACUCAUACGGGAGGCAGCAGUGGGGAAUCUUGCACAAUGGGCGAAAGCCUGAUGCAGCGACGCCGCGUGCGGGAUGAAGGCCUUCGGGUUGUAAACCGCUUUCAGCAGGGACGAGGCGAAAGUGACGGUACCUGCAGAAGAAGCCCCGGCUAACUACGU